UCUAAUUUAACAGUAGUACGUUAUUUUUUCAAUUUUUUGUGUUGUUGGCUU
Molecule: transfer RNA, 51 nt
Filed under: Acanthobothrium sp. MZUSP 8034
Lineage: Eukaryota; Metazoa; Platyhelminthes; Cestoda; Tetraphyllidea; Onchobothriidae
Description: tRNA-Tyr
Source: RNAcentral